UAGGGAAUCUUCCACAAUGGACGCAAGUCUGAUGGAGCAACGCCGCGUGAGUGAAGAAGGUUUUCGGACCGUAAAGCUCUGUUGUUGGUGAAGAAGGAUAGAGGUAGUAACUGGCCUUUAUUUGACGGUAAUCAACCAGAAAGUCACGGCUAACUACGUGCCAGCAGCCGCGGUAAUCGUAGGUGGCAAGCGUUGUCCGGAUUUAUUGGGCGUAAAGCGAGCGCAGGCGGAAGAAUAAGUCUGAUGUGAAAGCCCUCGGCUUAACCGAGGAAUUGCAUCGGAAACUGUUUUCUUGAGUGCAGAAGAGGAGAGUAGAACUCCAUGUGUAGCGGUGGAAUGCGUAGAUAUAUGGAAGAAUACCAGUGGCGAAGGCGGCUCUCUGGUCUGCAACUGACGCUGAGGCUCGAAAGCAUGGGUAGCGAACAGGAUUAGAUACCCUUGGUAGUCCAUGCCGUAAACGAUGAGUGCUAAGUGUUGGGAGGCUUCCGCCUCUCAGUGCUGCAGCUAACGCAUUAAGCACUCCGCCUGGGGGAGUACGACCGCAAGG
Molecule: ribosomal RNA, 547 nt
Filed under: uncultured bacterium
Lineage: Bacteria
Description: partial 16S ribosomal RNA
Rfam family: Bacterial small subunit ribosomal RNA
Source: RNAcentral